Molecule: long non-coding RNA, 199 nt
Filed under: Elaeis guineensis (African oil palm)
Lineage: Eukaryota; Viridiplantae; Streptophyta; Magnoliopsida; Arecales; Arecaceae
Description: long non-coding RNA (EGUI_LNC043901)
Source: RNAcentral
AGGCUAUGAUCUAGUUAUCACCAUAACUAGCUCAUUUUAGGGACCUAAUAAUUUAAAAAAUUUAGUCAGUUUAGAGAAGAAGAGAGAAGAAAAAUUCAAUCAGGUCCCUAAAAUGACUAUUUUAGAGAAUUUAGACCACAAUCCUCCCACUGAUUUUACCAAGUCAUUAAAUCGGAUUGGUCAUACUGAUUGAACUGGC